UUGAACGCUGGCGGCAGGCCUAACACAUGCAAGUCGAGCGGAUGAAGAGAGCUUGCUCUCUGAUUCAGCGGCGGACGGGUGAGUAAUGCCUAGGAAUCUGCCUGGUAGUGGGGGACAACGUCUCGAAAGGGACGCUAAUACCGCAUACGUCCUACGGGAGAAAGCAGGGGACCUUCGGGCCUUGCGCUAUCAGAUGAGCCUAGGUCGGAUUAGCUAGUUGGUGAGGUAAUGGCUCACCAAGGCGACGAUCCGUAACUGGUCUGAGAGGAUGAUCAGUCACACUGGAACUGAGACACGGUCCAGACUCCUACGGGAGGCAGCAGUGGGGAAUAUUGGACAAUGGGCGAAAGCCUGAUCCAGCCAUGCCGCGUGUGUGAAGAAGGUCUUCGGAUUGUAAAGCACUUUAAGUUGGGAGGAAGGGCUGUAGAUUAAUACUUUGCAAUUUUGACGUUACCGACAGAAUAAGCACCGGCUAACUCUGUGCCAGCAGCCGCGGUAAUACAGAGGGUGCAAGCGUUAAUCGGAAUUACUGGGCGUAAAGCGCGCGUAGGUGGUUUGUUAAGUUGGAUGUGAAAGCCCCGGGCUCAACCUGGGAACUGCAUUCAAAACUGACAAGCUAGAGUAUGGUAGAGGGUGGUGGAAUUUCCUGUGUAGCGGUGAAAUGCGUAGAUAUAGGAAGGAACACCAGUGGCGAAGGCGACCACCUGGACUGAUACUGACACUGAGGUGCGAAAGCGUGGGGAGCAAACAGGAUUAGAUACCCUGGUAGUCCACGCCGUAAACGAUGUCAACUAGCCGUUGGGAGCCUUGAGCUCUUAGUGGCGCAGCUAACGCAUUAAGUGACCGCCUGGGACACGCCAUGGCAAAC
RNAcentral lists this ribosomal RNA (868 nucleotides) under Pseudomonas umsongensis. Its description in RNAcentral is "bacterial SSU rRNA". It matches the Rfam family "Bacterial small subunit ribosomal RNA", at positions 29 to 899 of the family's 1533-position model. Lineage: Bacteria; Pseudomonadati; Pseudomonadota; Gammaproteobacteria; Pseudomonadales; Pseudomonadaceae. The record is from RNAcentral.